GACGAACGCUGGCGGCGUGCUUAACACAUGCAAGUCGAACGAAGUGGCGAACGGGUGAGUAACGCGUAAUCAACCUGCCCUUCAGAGGGGGACAACAGUUGGAAACGACUGCUAAUACCGCAUACUGAAGGUGGGGAUUGCGUCGGAUUAGCUAGUUGGAGGGGGAACGGCCAACCAAGGCGAUGAUCAGUAGCCGGUGUGGAAAGAUUAACGGCCACAUUUGGACUGGGGCACGGCCCAAACUCCUACGGGAGGCCGCAGUGGGGGAUCUUCCGAAAUGGACGGAAGUCUGACGGAGCAACGCCGCGUGAGUGAUGGCGGCCUUCGGGUUGUAAAGCUCUGUUAAUCGGGACGCGGUACCGGAAUAGAAAGCCACGGCUAACUACGUGCCAGCAGCCGCGGUAAUAC
This 408-nucleotide ribosomal RNA is filed under the name uncultured bacterium. RNAcentral describes it as "partial 16S ribosomal RNA". It matches the Rfam family "Bacterial small subunit ribosomal RNA", at positions 28 to 526 of the family's 1533-position model. The record is from RNAcentral.